UCAAAAAAUUUUGAAGGCACCAUCUAGGGCCACUCCUGAGGCAACGCCUACAGUGGGUUAUUGAUUCGUCAAAGUGGGCAUGGCCUAUGGGACCCAGGUUUGGAUUCACCACUUACACUAAUGUGAGCAACUUCAAAUUUACAUGUCUUUAAUUUUGAUUAUUGCUUAUGUA
This is a long non-coding RNA of Etheostoma spectabile (orangethroat darter), 172 nucleotides long. RefSeq lists it as uncharacterized. The transcript is spliced from 4 exons. The record is from RefSeq and is a predicted model, not a curated record. NCBI's taxonomy places the organism in Eukaryota, Metazoa, Chordata, Actinopteri, Perciformes, Percidae.